GAUGAACGCUGGCGGCGUGCCUAAUACAUGCAAGUCGAGCGAACGGACGAGAAGCUUGCUUUUCUUAUGUUAGCGGCGGACGGGUGAGUAACACGUGGAUAACCUACCUAUAAGACUGGGAUAACUUCGGGAAACCGGAGCUAAUACCGGAUAAUAUUUUGAACCGCAUGGUUCAAAAGUGAAAGACGUUCUUGCUGUCACUUAUAGAUGGAUCCGCGCUGCAUUAGCUAGUUGGUAAGGUAACGGCUUACCAAGGCAACGAUGCAUAGCCGACCUGAGAGGGUGAUCGGCCACACUGGAACUGAGACACGGUCCAGACUCCUACGGGAGGCGGCAGUAGGGAAUCUUCCGCAAUGGGCGAAAGCCUGACGGAGCAACGCCGCGUGAGUGAUGAAGGUCUUCGGAUCGUAAAACUCUGUUAUUAGGGAAGAACAUAUGUGUAAGUAACUGUGCACAUCUUGACGGUACCUAAUCAGAAAGCCACGGCUAACUACGUG
This 497-nucleotide ribosomal RNA is filed under the name uncultured bacterium. RNAcentral describes it as "partial 16S ribosomal RNA". It matches the Rfam family "Bacterial small subunit ribosomal RNA", at positions 28 to 507 of the family's 1533-position model. The record is from RNAcentral.